GGGCCCGCACAAGCAGCGGAGCAUGUGGUUUAAUUCGAAGCAACGCGAAGAACCUUACCCAGACUUGACAUCUCCUGAAUUAAUCGUAAUGGAUGAAAUCCCUUCGGGGACAGGAAGACAGGUGGUGCAUGGUUGUCGUCAGCUCGUGUCGUGAGAUGUUGGGUUAAGUCCCGCAACGAGCGCAACCCUUAUCAUUAGUUGCUAACAUUAAGUUGAGCACUCUAGUGAGACUGCCCGGGUUAACCGGGAGGAAGGUGGGGAUGACGUCAAAUCAUCAUGCCCCUUAUGUCUGGGGCUACACACGUGCUACAAUGGUGGGAACAAAGAGAUGCAAGACCGCAAGGUGGAGCCAAACUCAAAAACCCAUCCCAGUUCGGAUUGUAGGCUGAAACUCGUCUACAUGAAGCUGGAGUUGCUAGUAAUCGCGAAUCAGAAUGUCCGCGGUGAAUACGUUCCCGGGCCUUGUACACACCGCCCGUCACACCAUGAGAGUCGGCAACACCCGAAGCCCGUGAGGUAACCUUUUGGAACCAGCGGUCGAAGGUGGGGUUGAUAAUUGGGGUGAAGUCGUAACAAGGUAGCCGUAGGAGAACCUGCGGCUGGAUCAC
This 608-nucleotide ribosomal RNA is filed under the name uncultured bacterium. RNAcentral's name for it is "bacterial SSU rRNA". It matches the Rfam family "Bacterial small subunit ribosomal RNA", at positions 917 to 1526 of the family's 1533-position model. The record is from RNAcentral.